AGAAUGAACGCUGGCGGCGUGCUUAACACAUGCAAGUCGAACGGAAUCCAAGGAGCUUGCUCUGGAAGAUUUAGUGGCGAACGGGUGAGUAUCACGUGAGCAACCUGCCCCGAAGACUGGGAUAACACCGGGAAACCGGUGCUAAUACCGGAUACCUUCCAAUGACCGCAUGGUCGAUGGAAGAAAUGUUUUUCGCUUCGGGAGGGGCUCGCGGUCCAUCAGCUUGUUGGCGGGGUAACGGCCCACCAAGGCUUCGACGGAUAGCUGGUCUGAGAGGACGAUCAGCCACACUGGAACUGAGAAACGGUCCAGACUCCUACGGGAGGCAGCAGUGGGGAAUCUUGCGCAAUGGACGAAAGUCUGACGCAGCAACGCCGCGUGAGGGACGAAGGUUUUCUGAAUUGUAAACCUCUUUCGACAGGGACGAUAAUGACGGUACCUGUAGAAGAAGCACCGGCCAACUAUGUGCCAGCAGCCGCGGU
RNAcentral lists this ribosomal RNA (482 nucleotides) under uncultured bacterium. RNAcentral describes it as "SSU rRNA". It matches the Rfam family "Bacterial small subunit ribosomal RNA", at positions 26 to 521 of the family's 1533-position model. The record is from RNAcentral.